RNAcentral lists this ribosomal RNA (292 nucleotides) under uncultured bacterium. Its description in RNAcentral is "partial 16S ribosomal RNA". RNAcentral also lists the same sequence under 1 other name. The record is from RNAcentral.
GGACUACUGGGGUAUCUAAUCCUGUUUGAUCCCCGCACUUUCGAGCCUCAGUGUCAGUUAUAGUUUCGUUAGCUGCCUUCGCAAUCGGUGUUCUAUGACAUCUCUAUGUAUUUCACCACUACAUGUCAUAUUCCGCCAACGGCAUCUAUACUCAAGCCCUACAGUAUCAAUGGCAAUUUCGCAGUUAAGCCGCGAGAUUUCACCACUGACUUAUAAGGCCACCUACGCUCCCUUUAAACCCAAUGAAUCCGGAUAACGCUUGCAUCCUUCGUCUUACCGCGGCUGCUGGCAC